This is a long non-coding RNA of Dioscorea cayenensis subsp. rotundata (Guinea yam), 687 nucleotides long. RefSeq lists it as uncharacterized. The transcript is spliced from 2 exons. The record is from RefSeq and is a predicted model, not a curated record. NCBI's taxonomy places the organism in Eukaryota, Viridiplantae, Streptophyta, Magnoliopsida, Dioscoreales, Dioscoreaceae.
UUUAGUUUUUAAGAGGAGAUGGUAUGAUGGUUUAGAACUCUGGUAGUGUGUGUGUGUUCUCCUUGAGAGCUUGCCUUUAGAAACACUUCAACUCCAGAGUUUGAGGUUUCCUUGGUGGUCAACUCCAGAUCUUGCUUCCUUUUUGGCUGGAGUUCCACCGACAGGUCACUCGAUCGUUUCAGGUGAAUUUUUGAUGACGUGGCCGCCGGAAUUACAUGUCAGCAAAAUAAAAAUAUUUUUUUAAGCCACGUUGCGAAGCCCACCUCAGCACUUUGGCUGACUGGGCUUUAAGUUGCCAACUCACCCUCCAUGUCACCCUCCCAGCUUGGAGGAGUAAGUCCUAGCCAUGUGCACAUAUUUUCUGUAUGAAGCAUGAGCUUUUAUUCUGCAAUAUCUUUUAUAUCUGUUGUUUCUGCAAUCCUACUGGGCCCUUGUGGCCCAUGCACUAUGUGAAUUCUGUUCUCGCAGGAGAAGAUCAAGUCUUGGAUCGGGGGUUGUCUGGGGGUCGUAUUGUCUGCUUUUAUCAAUACCUCUAUAUUACCCUCUUGUGAGUGUAAGACUUAUAUUCUGACUGUAUUUGUAAUUUGCGAACUGUUGGGUUGUAUUUGUAUUCUGUAGGGCUGCUAAAGUCCGUACUUGUAGUAUUUCAGUUUCCAGUAUCCUAUUUGUGCUUUUGUGUUCUGUUCA